Hyaena hyaena (striped hyena) is the source of this 382-nucleotide long non-coding RNA. RefSeq lists it as uncharacterized. The record is from RefSeq and is a predicted model, not a curated record. NCBI's taxonomy places the organism in Eukaryota, Metazoa, Chordata, Mammalia, Carnivora, Hyaenidae. The transcript has 3 exons.
GUCACGUUGCUUCUUAAACAUGUUAUCUCAAAUAUGCACAUCAGUUUUAACAUCUUCCAUUGGCCAGAAAUAAUUGGGAUCUUACUGAAUUUUGUCUGGGGAUAUGUUGCUUCAAUGCGAAUCCACUUCUGGGGACAGUUUGCCAUUAUAAAUGGUUAUACCUGGAAAGUGAGUGCAAGGGAACCCUCGUCCUUCUCCACUCGCUGCUUCCUGGUAGAUGGUGAUAGUUUCAGCAUCUAAAUUGGAAUCAAAAUGAAGAAGCCAUAUAUUAAAGAUGAGUAAACCAGCGCUGGACUACUACACUAACUAUGAACUGCUUGGUUACCUUUCCACGUUGUCCUCUUUGGAAGCUGGUCAUAUGCACAGCCUACAUUUAUGGAGU